RNAcentral lists this ribosomal RNA (251 nucleotides) under uncultured prokaryote. Its description in RNAcentral is "partial 16S ribosomal RNA". It matches the Rfam family "Bacterial small subunit ribosomal RNA", at positions 524 to 774 of the family's 1533-position model. The record is from RNAcentral.
UACGGAGGAUCCGAGCGUUAUCCGGAUUUACUGGGUUUAAAGGGUGCGUAGGCGGAUAUGUAAGCCAGCGGUGAAACUCACAGGCUCAACCUGUGCCGUGCCGUUGAAACUGUGUAUCUGGAAUGCGGUUGCUGUGGGUGGAAUGUGUGGUGUAGCGGUGAAAUGCUUAGAGAUCACACAGAAUAUCGAUUGCGAAGGCAGCUCACAAAGCCAAGAUUGACGCUGAGGCACGAAAGUGUGGGGAUCAAACA